CCUACGGGAGGCAGCAGUGGGGAAUAUUGCACAAUGGGGGAAACCCUGAUGCAGCGACGCCGCGUGAGCGAUGAAGUAUUUCGGUAUGUAAAGCUCUAUCAGCAGGGAAGAAAAUGACGGUACCUGACUAAGAAGCACCGGCUAAAUACGUGCCAGCAGCCGCGGUAAUACGUAUGGUGCAAGCGUUAUCCGGAUUUACUGGGUGUAAAGGGUGCGUAGGUGGCAGUGCAAGUCAGAUGUGAAAGGCUGGGGCUCAACCCCGGAGCUGCAUUUGAAACUGCAUAGCUAGAGUACAGGAGAGGCAGGCGGAAUUCCUAGUGUAGCGGUGAAAUGCGUAGAUAUUAGGAGGAACACCAGUGGCGAAGGCGGCUUACUGGACGGUAACUGACGUUGAGGCUCGAAAGCGUGGGGAGCAAACAGGAUU
RNAcentral lists this ribosomal RNA (424 nucleotides) under uncultured Megasphaera sp. RNAcentral describes it as "bacterial SSU rRNA". It matches the Rfam family "Bacterial small subunit ribosomal RNA", at positions 338 to 779 of the family's 1533-position model. Lineage: Bacteria; Bacillati; Bacillota; Negativicutes; Veillonellales; Veillonellaceae. The record is from RNAcentral.